Molecule: long non-coding RNA, 2057 nt
Organism: Raphanus sativus (radish)
Lineage: Eukaryota; Viridiplantae; Streptophyta; Magnoliopsida; Brassicales; Brassicaceae
Exons: 9
Source: RefSeq, a predicted model, not a curated record
UUGCAAUUGCAACAACAAAAUUAUUUUGUUUCUCUUCCCUAUCGCUCGUCGUCUCCUCGUUAUGCGCCACGUCGGAAUCCGCCGACGGUGAUGAAGAUUCACGCUCCCCCCCCCCCCCCCCCCAAAACAAGUAUGAGCGUUUCCAUCGGUUUAAUCGUUUCUUACGGGCUUAAUAACUCAUGAGGUACGCGCACCACGUGUUCGACGAAAUUCACUAGAGGCUCACAGCCACGUGAUAGAAUCCACAGAUAAAACGAGAUACAGUGGUGCAAAUGGUGUCUCUUUAAGAAAUCUGGCAGCAUUCAGCUAGCGACGAUCUCUGAUCAAUUUGCUAUCCAGAAAGUGGUGUCUUGCUGGACGUGAUAUUAAGAGAAAGGCAACAACCCACGCACUAUAUUUUGUUGUACGAUAGUUUAUCAGCUGGCAUUUAAAAUAGGCUUCAAAAAAGUCAACGGGGGCAUUCCAUGAAUUGAACUCAGGACCUCUGGCAACCAAACCUAUUAGUUUGUGAAUUUGAAAGCCUACAAAACAUGAUGAUCUGCCCUACCUGAAAAAUAGUUAACAAGAUUAAUUGACUCUACCUGAAACAGCGAAUCUGCAGAAGAAAGGUGGUUUCUGGUUGAUGAGUUGGGUUAGUUUGGUCUCAACACUUGAUGUCGAAAAUUAUCACAUGAAGUUCAAGAGCUUAUGACGGAGAUUUAAACUCCAGACUACCUUUUUGAGUUAAAAAGGGUAAGGGUCUUGUCCUUCGUUUGUUGGGAUGUUAAUUUCAUUGUUUUAAGAGCAACUACUGGCGUUUUUAAUCUAGUCCUGAUGAAAUGCUAGAGAAGACAUUAAUGUUUAACUGCUGAAGCUUGUUGCAGUGGCCCCAUCCGACAUGAAAGCAAAGGUUGUCUCUUGGAGAAAUCUGCCAGAAUUGUGUGAACGGCUCCAAUCAAGCCAAAACCUAAAUCUCAAAGAUGAUUCGCUGUUUGAGUUUAAAGCGUUGGAGCUGGUUUUGGAAUAUUAUCUUGCUUGUCUUUAGAUGCACAGGGUGCAGCUUUAACCGAGUGCUACGCUCUACAAGUUUUUUUGCUGGACUUGAUUUUAACAGGUUAAAAGGUCCCCUUCCUUAACACAGAACACUCGACUCUCCCUAGUCUGCAAGACCUUCCACUCUCUCAUCUUAUCCCCUGAGAUCCUCAUUGAGCGACGUCACUACAAAACACAAGAAAACUUCCUUUAUGUCUACUUACAGUUGCCUGGUCGUAGUCUUCCUUCCUGGUUCACCCUCUGGAUAAAACCUGAUCAAACCCUAAUCAAUAAACUUGAUCAGGAGGAUGGCACGUCUACUGAAACUACUAUCUUGGUACCAAUACCUUCUUCAUAUUCUCCUUGUGAACCAACAUCAUAUAUUGGUAUAGUUGGUUCAAAGUACUAUGAUCUCAUACAAUUAAUACAGCAUAUCUCCUUGUGGCUCCCGACAGAGGGAAAGGUUUACGUUAGUAGCAGCGAGAAGAAACUUUAUUUUUAUGAUCCAAAGGAGUUGAGAUGGGGCGUUGCAGUGUAUUACAGCGGAUGUAUUGUACGCCUGUGGUGAUGAAAACUAUAUCUUGUGGUUUGACCCAAAGCAUGAAGGGUGGAGAGUGGUCAAAGGAUUGGAUUGGAGGUACUGUGUAGGACUUGUUGUGCUUGUGCUCUUUCGGUAGCUAACUACGGUGGGAGACUCUUAGUCUUGUGGGACAAGAAACAGCCUAAUAAGUGGUACACAAUACUAACAUUUGGUGCUCGGUGAUUUGCACUUGAAAGACGCAAUGGUGAUGACGAUGUUUGGGGAAUUGUUGAGUGGGCUGGUGUUGUGCUUACAGUUCCUAGUGCAUACUUUUUCUUGCGUUGUCGAGUGGAGACAGAGUGAAAGAAUGCUUUUGUUUACACCAGGCCAGUAGCCCUUUUUGUUUUUUUCUAUUGACAUUUCAAUUCGUUUUAGUUUUAAUUCUUUAAUAAAUCAGUCGUUUUAAAUAAACUACUAUGCUCAAUUAAAACUCUUGGCAAACAUCAACCGGUAAGAAUUUUGGUCA